GAUGAACGCUGGCGGCGUGCCUAAUACAUGCAAGUCGAGCGAACAGAUAAGGAGCUUGCUCCUUUGACGUUAGCGGCGGACGGGUGAGUAACACGUGGGUAACCUACCUAUAAGACUGGGAUAACUUCGGGAAACCGGAGCUAAUACCGGAUAACAUUUGGAACCGCAUGGUUCUAAAGUGAAAGAUGGUUUUGCUAUCACUUAUAGAUGGACCCGCGCCGUAUUAGCUAGUUGGUAAGGUAACGGCUUACCAAGGCAACGAUACGUAGCCGACCUGAGAGGGUGAUCGGCCACACUGGAACUGAGACACGGUCCAGACUCCUACGGGAGGCAGCAGUAGGGAAUCUUCCGCAAUGGGCGAAAGCCUGACGGAGCAACGCCGCGUGAGUGAUGAAGGGUUUCGGCUCGUAAAACUCUGUUAUUAGGGAAGAACAAACAUGUAAGUAACUGUGCACGUCUUGACGGUACCUAAUCAGAAAGCCACGGCUAACUACGUG
Molecule: ribosomal RNA, 497 nt
Filed under: uncultured bacterium
Lineage: Bacteria
Description: partial 16S ribosomal RNA
Rfam family: Bacterial small subunit ribosomal RNA
Source: RNAcentral